UAGGGAAUCUUCGGCAAUGGACGAAAAGUCUGACCGAGCAACGCCGCGUGAGUGAAGAAGGUUUCGGAGUCGUAAAACUCUGUUGGUAGAGAAGAACGUUGGUGAGAGUGGAAAGCUCAUCAAGUGACGGUAACUACCCAGAAAGGGACGGCUAACUACGUGUCAG
Molecule: ribosomal RNA, 166 nt
Filed under: uncultured bacterium
Lineage: Bacteria
Description: partial 16S rRNA
Rfam family: Bacterial small subunit ribosomal RNA
Source: RNAcentral